Molecule: ribosomal RNA, 456 nt
Filed under: Cladosporium sp. ESO132
Lineage: Eukaryota; Fungi; Ascomycota; Dothideomycetes; Cladosporiales; Cladosporiaceae
Description: eukaryotic LSU rRNA
Rfam family: 5.8S ribosomal RNA (bases 106-259)
Source: RNAcentral
CUCUGUUGCCUCCGGGGCGACCCUGCCUUCGGGCGGGGGCUCCGGGUGGACACUUCAAACUCUUGCGUAACUUUGCAGUCUGAGUAAACUUAAUUAAUAAAUUAAAACUUUUAACAACGGAUCUCUUGGUUCUGGCAUCGAUGAAGAACGCAGCGAAAUGCGAUAAGUAAUGUGAAUUGCAGAAUUCAGUGAAUCAUCGAAUCUUUGAACGCACAUUGCGCCCCCUGGUAUUCCGGGGGGCAUGCCUGUUCGAGCGUCAUUUCACCACUCAAGCCUCGCUUGGUAUUGGGCAACGCGGUCCGCCGCGUGCCUCAAAUCGACCGGCUGGGUCUUCUGUCCCCUAAGCGUUGUGGAAACUAUUCGCUAAAGGGUGUUCGGGAGGCUACGCCGUAAAACAACCCCAUUUCUAAGGUUGACCUCGGAUCAGGUAGGGAUACCCGCUGAACUUAAGCAUAU